RNAcentral lists this ribosomal RNA (100 nucleotides) under Vibrio cholerae. Lineage: Bacteria; Pseudomonadati; Pseudomonadota; Gammaproteobacteria; Vibrionales; Vibrionaceae. The record is from RNAcentral.
CUUGGCGACCAUAGCGUUUUGGACCCACCUGACUCCAUCCCGAACUCAGAAGUGAAACGAAACAGCGUCGAUGGUAGUGUGGGGCUGUCUCUUAUACACA